Molecule: small RNA, 231 nt
Filed under: Arabidopsis thaliana (thale cress)
Lineage: Eukaryota; Viridiplantae; Streptophyta; Magnoliopsida; Brassicales; Brassicaceae
Description: ATSL050960
Source: RNAcentral
AUCAUAACUAGAUUAUAAUUCGCCGCAGAAACAAUUUUUUUUUAAAAUUAGUAUAUAUAAAAGUCUGCAAAUUAUAUUUAUCUAUAAAAUAUUUACAUUUUCUAGUUUACAAUUGUUAUUAAGUAACAUUCUUCCAAACCCGUUCCGCCAAACCCGUCCCGUUAAAAAACUCCGCGGUAUACCGCUAAUUUAAAUAAAUAUUUUAUAGGAUUGUAAUUAUAUUUUAGUUUA